GGAAAUCACAUCCCAAUAACCUACGUUUACUGAGCACAUCCACAUGCCAUGCCCUGCUGCAAAGCCUUAACCUACCCAUGCAACCCUCACAGCAGUCCUGCGAAGAUGAGUCAUCCCAUUUUAGAAAAAAUUAAGGCCUUGGAAACAGACAUCUACCCUAAGGAUAUGCUCCAUAGACUGAGGACACCCCAAACAGACCCGUGGGCUCAAAGACUACACUUUGAGUGAAGACACAACAGGACGGGAGGAGGACAUUCCAGAGCCAGAGAGUAUUUGUGGACACACCCCAAUUAUGGAAGCUCACAGUCCUCCCCCUCCCCCACAACUUCCUGGAGGACACAUACACCAUACUCCCUGACACCCCCCAACACACCCUUGGUAGGAGCCUCUGUAGGUAAAUGUCUCCAUGUUUCUAGAAUAUUGGGGCUGGAUUCUGACCUGUUCACCAGGAGCUAUAAAAUGCAAAUGUGUGUUUUACAUAUGCAAAUGUACAACAAAGGCAGCCUGGGGGUUGCCCCAGAGCUGGAAGUUUGGAGCCCUGGGAUGAAGAGUGAGAGGCACUUGGAUUUGACCGGGAGACCCGGGAACCAUCAGAGAAGCAGGCUCUCCCAGGGAGCAAAACACAGGUUUUGCAUUACAGAGACCUGAAGGAGAGAGGGAAGGAUGCGGAAGUGAAACACGGUGAGUCCGGCUGGAGCUGGAAGAGUGUAUUUCUCUCCGUUGGACAGAACCUUGCACUUAGACCCAGAAGUUAAGGGUCUGUCUUUGGGGACUUCCUGUGAAAAAGAGCCUCAUCUCGUUGACCAGAUUUGAGAAAGAACAUUCCUGCCCUUCUACCAAUAUCACCCUCCUCUGGACUCCUCCAGACCCAGGUCCCCUGGUCCCAGCCUUUAGCAGCCGACCCCACCCACUGAGAUCCACCCCUGCCUACCCAUCUCUUGAACUUGACUGUUCUAGUUCCAAGAGCACACCAUGCCCCUGCAUGUUUCUUGCCACUGACUGGGACGUCCUCCUUCCCUCUCGGCCCACUUUUUGAACUCUUAUUUGUCCUUAACG
Molecule: long non-coding RNA, 1056 nt
Filed under: Sus scrofa (pig)
Lineage: Eukaryota; Metazoa; Chordata; Mammalia; Artiodactyla; Suidae
Description: lncRNA (ENSSSCG00055026153.1)
Source: RNAcentral